Non-coding RNA from Mycena rebaudengoi, 94 nucleotides. Lineage: Eukaryota; Fungi; Basidiomycota; Agaricomycetes; Agaricales; Mycenaceae. The record is from the annotation of a GenBank genome assembly.
UCGGAUGUGGUGUAUGGUGCACAUUAGCUCUACAUAGGUAGACACCAAAUUCAGCUGAAGCUUGAUGAACGGGGUUCGACUCCCCGCAUCCGAA